GCCCCGCCCCCCUGCGCACUCCCCUCCGCCGCCCUGCCGGUUCGGCCUCCGGUGACAGUCUCGCCCGACGCUGUCCCGGGUCGGCCCCGCUGGGCCCAAGGAACCCGCGUUUUGCAAGAUGCCCCUGAAUGCCCGCUUCCCCCGGAGCCCAGGUUGGGCCCGGGUCUCUCCCGGGCUAGAGAAGAGGCGGCGCUGCCUACCCGGCAGAGGACGAAAUAGAAACCUCGAGGACAGUUUCCUCCGCCGGCAGAGAGUUGAGAGAACUAAUAGCGAGAUUCUCGCUACAGGAAGUCGAGGAGCUGAACUAGAGAAGUGAAUCAUAUGGCUUUCAAUUUGUGCAGAUUGUGUGCUGUCAAGAUCUGAAGGGGAAGAGAUUCAGGAGGUCGACUCUCCAAGCUGGGAUGUCUGUGGGACCCUCUGUCUGGUUGCUGGCAAUCCUGCAAAAAAUGGGUGCCUCUGCCCAGCACCCCAGCUGCUUACUCUUGUUCUCACUCCCUCCCCUCCCUUCUGUUCCUCCUGCUCUCACAUGCGGAAGAGCCUGUUUUCCCUGCAGCCACUCUUGCCAGGAGACAUCAGAAACCCCAUGGACGUUUAGGGAAGACAUACGGCACAGUUCCCUGGAAGGAGAGACCAGAUUCUAAGCUCUUAGGACCCUCAUCCUUGGUUAUCAGUCCACCCGGUGCCUGGUUUCUGCUCCAGUCUCCACUGGGGUAAGAGGUCUGGAAAAGUGCCUAUUUACCUGGCCAUUAUAGUGUCCCCACUCACCCUCUUGUUUCUCUUCCUUAGCAAUAAGGCUUUUUCUUCUUCUUUAGCAAUAAAAUAAUGACAUAGCCACCACUUGGGGAAUGAUGCCUGGAACUAUACGAACUAACACAUCCACCCCUACACUCCGAGCUCCCCAGCCCUCUAAGCUCACUUCUUUCCACCUAACAUCAUAUAUGUUUACUCAAUGUUUUUGUCUCUCAGGACUUUCCCCAGGACUAUAAGCUCCUCAAAGGCAGGGAUUUUGUCUUUCAGGGCUGUGUCCCCAGACAGCAGCAUGUAUCCAUGGUAGGUAUUCUAUAAAUAUUUAUUGAAUGCAUAAAUGUGCUUAUAUUGGAAGAUAUAAAAAGAAAGUGAAGAACAAACAUGCAUAAAAAAACUUCUCUAAGAGUUUAUCAUCUAACCAUGUGAUAACUAUCCUACAAAGGGUUAUGAAAUAACCCAAGGGGUGUUAAAACUGUCAAAGGCAUUCUGAUCUUGCCCUCCGGUUUAGUAAGAAAAAUGCACUUUUGCUUUCAGAUACGUACAGUAGCCUGACAUUCUUUGUGGGGAUUUUUUAUUUUUUAAAGAAAUAAUCUGUUAGGCAAGUAUGUGAAACCUUCUUAUUUAA
Molecule: long non-coding RNA, 1372 nt
Organism: Lemur catta (Ring-tailed lemur)
Lineage: Eukaryota; Metazoa; Chordata; Mammalia; Primates; Lemuridae
Exons: 3
Source: RefSeq, a predicted model, not a curated record